GUUGAGUUGAGUUUAGUUUAGUUUGAUGACGUGGUGGAAUCAUUAUAUUUUUUGUUUUAAUACAACUGGAAAUGCUGCUAAAAUUUAUUCAUUUGGUUAUGGUAUCUCUUCCUUAUAACUGUAACAAUUGACAUAAUUUCCUUGCAUUCAUCCCUCAAUGCUUCUACAACCAUAUUAUCUGUCUGGGAGGAAAUUUAUAGAAGCUUUGGGAUAUAAUAUAUUUUUAUCUUUAUUCUAACAAUUAAACAUGCUUAUUCUUUUUGCAUAAUGUGAAGUUGGUUUGAUCUUAUUGUAGGGUUACAUCAAGGUUAGAAAACAAAAAUGCUUAGUUCCAUCAAUAGGUUUCAUCAUGAUGCCUAAUUCCAUCUGGUACAAGGCUCUAGUCUAGAAGAGUAUAGGCUGAAUGUAUGUGUUAACUGUUGACUAAGCAUGCUUUCUACGACCAAUGCAGGUUCCUUUAUCCAAUAUACCCUCUUGUUUGUGUUGCUGCAUCUGCUGUCAUUGAAAGCUUUCCUGAUCUUUUCCGAGAC
RNAcentral lists this unclassified non-coding RNA (530 nucleotides) under Hevea brasiliensis (rubber tree). Lineage: Eukaryota; Viridiplantae; Streptophyta; Magnoliopsida; Malpighiales; Euphorbiaceae. The record is from RNAcentral.